Molecule: long non-coding RNA, 817 nt
Organism: Arachis duranensis
Lineage: Eukaryota; Viridiplantae; Streptophyta; Magnoliopsida; Fabales; Fabaceae
Exons: 2
Source: RefSeq, a predicted model, not a curated record
CAUGAAGCCUAACCCUCAAUUUUUUAAAAUCUCAUCUUCGGUUAUCUUUAUCAAUAUAUACGUUCCUAUACAACUCCCCCCUUUCUUUCUUAUUCAAAGAUAUGCAGACAUAAACUUAUCGAAUGGCAGCAUUCUAAUCGGACUAACUCUCGAACUGAGAUUGAUUCUCUUCAAGCUCAACUAGAAGUCUUCCGAGCUGGUGGAAUGCAUGGAGUAGAGGUGAUUUCGGAUUUAAAAAACAGAUUAGAGAGUCUUGCAAGAAGAAAAAUCCUACUGGUAAGGUGUGGAGUACUUGGUUGUUUGCUCUUGAGAGGCUUUGGGCAAUGCCAGGUUCACUAAAGGAGCACUUUCAAAGUUGGACAACUGGUCCAGUGAGGAAGGAUGAGAGGAAGUGAUGCUUCAUUGGUUUCUUUGCUGUUAUUUGGACAAUGUGGCUAGAAAGGAAUGAUAGAAUAUUCAAAAAUCAAGCCUUGAGCGUGGAGCAAAUCAUGAACAGGUCCUUCGAUUUCUCUGAUGAAUGGUUUGGUGGUGAACCUUAUGGAUGUUGAUGGCACUGCCGAAAAUACCUAGGGGUUGUCAUGUACUAGGAGUUGUUGGAAUGUACUAGUUUGUCUUUUAAUGCUCCACCUUGUGUGUUGAGCUCUUUACUUCAAAAAAAAAAUGACUUAAGGCUGGUGAAUAGAAUAUAGACUUCUCUUAUUAGAAAUUUUGAAAUCAUGCACGAAGGAACAAAUCUGGCAAUUAGCUGGUAAUGAUGGUUCAGUUGCCUCUUCUAAUGCAGAUAUUGCAACAAUGGCAAAAUUUUACUUUCAUGAAA